Molecule: long non-coding RNA, 1429 nt
Organism: Trichomycterus rosablanca
Lineage: Eukaryota; Metazoa; Chordata; Actinopteri; Siluriformes; Trichomycteridae
Exons: 2
Source: RefSeq, a predicted model, not a curated record
AUUCUUUUUUUCAGAUUUGUUUUGCAAAUCUCUGAGAUGACAGGCAUGCCCUUUUUGUCAUUACCCUCAGACUCACUCAGUGCAACAAUUGCAAUAGAGUGUAUGAGCUGCCUUGCAUCCUGGAUUGUCACAGACUGAAGAAGCUGUGCCAUGGCUCUUAGAUAAAAAUCUUUAACCCGCCUUGCUUUCUUAUGGAGACAUUCCCAUUGACUAAUCAUCUUUAUGCAGUGUGCAACAUCUACUCUGAUGAAGCAAGGAGGCAGUUUUGUUGACUUCCAGCUGUUUAGUACACCAAAACACUCAUUUAUAUAGGUCUUCAAAUCAGAGUAAGGAGUAAAGGCCUUAACAAGACCACCCAGCAAUGCAAGGGAGAAAUCAGAAACAACUUCUUUUGGUACAGAUGCUCCUGCUCUUAGCCAUUCAGAGAGCCAGUUUGAUAUGGCAUUAAUGUCAUGCCGCUCAGACAGCAUUUGCACCACUGGGAUAUGAACAGAAGUAUCUCCAUGUGAGGACAGAACUCCUUGAUACAAAAAUAUAUGUCCUGAUGUUUCUGUUGGUCUAGUGAGCCUUUUGACUACUGUACCUGUAGCAUCAAAACUUACACUUGAACCUUGAGUCUUUACUAAUGUUUUGUAGACUAGUAGUUGAGAGGGGGUCCAAUAAUGGCAAAAAAAUUUGUCAAGGCCUAUGUCAUGAAUACUGCCCCUAUGAGGCACACUGUAUUUUAUCAGAUGAAGGGAAAGGAUGGGGUCUUUGUGUCCUAACUCCUUAUCCCCUCUCUCUUGUUUUGCUUUUCUUAAUGUAUUCAGGCUUGGUAGGUGGCUAGGCUCUGGGUCACCGAGUGCCAUUAUUUUGUAAGCCUCUGCGGCUCGCCACACAUGUGGCAGUUUUUUACCCUCCCAGAGUUCUUUAGAGACCUGCAGUCUUUUCUCUCCAGAUAGCAUGCGUUUUGCCUUCCCAGUAUGAAGACUUUCAUCAAUGUUAUCUAUUCUGCAUUUUAGCACUGCUGGUGUGCUCACCUCUGGUAGACUUUCACUGGAAAUGCACAAUUUUGCAUUGCACUCAGUACAGUGGCCAGCGAUGUCAAUGCACUUAGAUGCACUCUGUGGGUACACUUUUGCUCUUUUAAAUCUAAGUGUGCAGGCUAAUUUGGUCAUGUUCCAGAUCUUUUCAUUUAGGACAUUAGACCAUGUGCCAUGUUUCAAGAUGGUGUAAGUUCUUUCAUUUGACUGUGCAGCUUUGUUCUUGUAGACUGCUUCUUCUUGCCAGAUGUCAGUCCACUCUUGAAAGGGGAUGUCGCCUGAGGAGAGGACAAAAGAAAAGUAUGCUCAGACCCUCAAACGUGACAAUGAACUUUUUGUUGCUGGGACAAUGUUCUUUUUUUUUUUUUUUUUCUUUUUUUUUAUUAAAUAAAGGUUGCAUAAAAAAA